ACAGAGUAUGGAGCCUUUAACCGAACAACUGUGAUCUGAUCCUCAAACUUUCCUCGACCUCUUCCCAACAUUGCUGCCGAAGAUGAAAGCCACAUGUAAUAGAGUAAUAUUAAAGCCUCCUUUCCUUCCUAAAAGUAAACAAAUACAUACAUAUAUUAAACAAAUAUAUCAAAAACCAGGUGGUAGAUAGUAUACAAAUGAAAUUAAAUUUAUAACUGGAAGCUUAACUUCAUGGAGAGAAUUUUAGACAUUUCAUCAUGAUGGACUCUAGCAGACCUGGCUUCAUGGUGCAUUCAUGCUCUUGUAACUAGCCAAUAUAUUACGGAGCCUUGUUCUGCAUCUUUUAUGUUCAGCUAGAUUGUUUUCCUCCUUACCCCCGCAACCGCCACAUUUUUUCUGCUGACCAACUCUGGUAGACUGUAACAUGGAUCCUGGCUAGUUGAGCAGCAUUGGUUUCAUGUUUCUAAGAGCUUGCUGCUUCCAUUGCAUACACAUGAAAGGGAAAAAAAGAAGGGGAGGCGGUGGUGGGGAUAGCUUCUCAGUAAUAGUCCAUUCCAAAUAAUGUAACCACACUUUUAAAAAAAAACUUAAAUAUCUAUUUAUGGUUAAGCCUCUAUUAGUGCAGCAAUGAAUCAUUUUACAUUAAAAGAAGGAACAUGAAGAUUGAUAAGUACAGCCCUUCCUUUCAAGCAUCAUUCAAGGAAGGAUAGGAAACAGAGAAAGUAGAAUAGGCAUGAGCAAAUGCAUUUAGAAGAAAGCAGCGAGUAUUUAUCUGUUCUUUAGAGGUUCAACACCAUAUCUUGAACCAAUCUACAUUUUAAAUCUAUUUACAAGUACUCAAAUGUGA
This 847-nucleotide long non-coding RNA is filed under the name Elaeis guineensis (African oil palm). RNAcentral's name for it is "long non-coding RNA (EGUI_LNC024875)". The record is from RNAcentral. Lineage: Eukaryota; Viridiplantae; Streptophyta; Magnoliopsida; Arecales; Arecaceae.